This 23-nucleotide non-coding RNA is filed under the name Arabidopsis thaliana (thale cress). Lineage: Eukaryota; Viridiplantae; Streptophyta; Magnoliopsida; Brassicales; Brassicaceae. The record is from RNAcentral.
UGAAGCAAACUAAAAGACUCGGC